Molecule: ribosomal RNA, 532 nt
Filed under: Bacillus subtilis
Lineage: Bacteria; Bacillati; Bacillota; Bacilli; Caryophanales; Bacillaceae
Description: bacterial SSU rRNA
Rfam family: Bacterial small subunit ribosomal RNA
Source: RNAcentral
CCAGUGGCGAAGGCGACUCUCUGGUCUGUAACUGACGCUGAGGAGCGAAAGCGUGGGGAGCGAACAGGAUUAGAUACCCUGGUAGUCCACGCCGUAAACGAUGACUGCUAAGUGUUAGGGGGUUUCCGCCCCUUAUUGCUGCAGCUAACGCAUUAAUCACUCCGCCUGGGGAGUACGGUCGCAAGACUGAAACUCAAAGGAAUUGACGGGGGCCCGCACAAGCGGUGGAGCAUGUGGUUUAAUUCGAAGCAACGCGAAGAACCUUACCAGGUCUUGACAUCCUCUGACAAUCCUAAAAAUAGGACGUCCCCUUCGGGGGCAGAGUGACAGGUGGUGCAUGGUUGUCGUCAGCUCGUGUCGUGAGAUGUUGGGUUAAGUCCCGCAACGAGCGCAACCCUUGAUCUUAGUUGCCAGCAUUCAGUUGGGCACUCUAAGGUGACUGCCGGUGACAAACCGGAGGAAAGUGGGGGAUGACGUCAAAUCAUCAUGCCCCUUAUGACCUGGGCUACACACGUGCUACAAUGGACAGAAC